UACGUAGGGGGCAAGCGUUGUCCGGAUUUAUUGGGCGUAAAGAGCGUGUAGGCGGCCUGACAGGUCUGCUGUGAAAACUCGAGGCUCAACCUCGAGAUGUCGGCGGAAACCGUCUGGCUAGAGUCCGGAAGAGGAGAGUGGAAUUCCUGGUGUAGCGGUGAAAUGCGCAGAUAUCAGGAAGAACACCUAUGGCGAAGGCAGCUCUCUGGGACGUGACUGACGCUGAGACGCGAAAGCGUGGGGAGCAAACAGG
Molecule: ribosomal RNA, 253 nt
Filed under: uncultured bacterium
Lineage: Bacteria
Description: partial 16S ribosomal RNA
Rfam family: Bacterial small subunit ribosomal RNA
Source: RNAcentral